Molecule: ribosomal RNA, 356 nt
Filed under: Bacillus pumilus
Lineage: Bacteria; Bacillati; Bacillota; Bacilli; Caryophanales; Bacillaceae
Description: bacterial SSU rRNA
Rfam family: Bacterial small subunit ribosomal RNA
Source: RNAcentral
GCAGCCGCGGUAAUACGUAGGUGGCAAGCGUUGUCCGGAAUUAUUGGGCGUAAAGGGCUCGCAGGCGGUUUCUUAAGUCUGAUGUGAAAGCCCCCGGCUCAACCGGGGAGGGUCAUUGGAAACUGGGAAACUUGAGUGCAGAAGAGGAGAGUGGAAUUCCACGUGUAGCGGUGAAAUGCGUAGAGAUGUGGAGGAACACCAGUGGCGAAGGCGACUCUCUGGUCUGUAACUGACGCUGAGGAGCGAAAGCGUGGGGAGCGAACAGGAUUAGAUACCCUGGUAGUCCACGCCGUAAACGAUGAGUGCUAAGUGUUAGGGGGUUUCCGCCCCUUAGUGCUGCAGCUAACGCAUAAGCA